Long non-coding RNA from Sorex araneus (European shrew), 1480 nucleotides. RefSeq lists it as uncharacterized. Lineage: Eukaryota; Metazoa; Chordata; Mammalia; Eulipotyphla; Soricidae. The record is from RefSeq and is a predicted model, not a curated record. The transcript is spliced from 5 exons.
UUGAAGCUGAUGCGUUAAGUAGUAUUCAUUUAGUGCGUUACAGUUGACGAAUCGCAUACUGUCCUUUCAACCGGAGAUGAGCGUGAUGCACCCCCUUUUUACGCACAAAGAAGGAAUUUCCUCUCUUUUCAAAAGGAAAGAAUUGUUAAAUGAUGGAACCUAGGUUCUAGCUUCUUUCACAUCUCUCCUAGCAAUUCUUGCUGGACUGCAACAGUGACUAGAAGGCAGGGAAAGAAAACAAGAUGACUGAAAGCAAGAAGUGGCAGAGGAUAUUUAAUCUUAAUAUAACAAUGUAUGAACGUUAUUAUGAGAGAUCCAAAAAGCAAUGUUAAGAAAGAUACAGCGAAACAAAGAUCACUGAAGCAAUCAUUUCUUCUCAUUUCUCAUUUUCUCAAAAUAGGAAUGCUCUUUUUUUUUUUUUCAAAUCUGGGAGAUGCUGACAUAAGAACUGGACUAUCCUGAGUUUUUCCUGAGAUCUCAGUAUUGGGUCUUACAGGGAAGCUACAAGUUUUGACCAGAUGACUACACAGUGGCUUUUUAAGACGAUUCUUAUUCAGUGCUGAGAAGGAAUGAUAAAUCCACAGAAAUUUCAGGAGAUGGAAUUAAACAGGAGAAGAAUAAAAUCCAGGAGAAAUCCAAGUGUAAAUUUAAUUCCAGAGUUAACCGGCCCUCAUACCAACAAGGUCAUGAUAGAUAUAAACUAGUUCUCAGACUAUUUACCCAGGUGUCUUUAGUUUGUUGCAGAAAUUGAAAGGUAACCACGGAGACCCAGAAUUCAAGAAAUCUGACAACAGUAUCUAAGUGUGUCCAGAAGAGGGAGCAUAAUAGUUUUGCUGGUCAGGUAUCAGAGUUUAGGUAUCAGGGCUGGACACAUAAUGUGAUUUAGAGACGACCGCUGGACUAGAGCUAUUACCGACUGGAUUCCACGGGACGUCAAAAGACCGAGUGGCCGCCCACCUACAAGAUGGUCAGAUUUCUUUGUCAAAACCCUGAACAAACGGUUUGAGGCUCUUCAUGUUCCUGGAGCGAGCAGAUACAAUUGGGCUACUCUAGCAUGUGAGAGGGACGAAUGGAGAUGUUACUGGUGCCCGCCCCGCUCGAGCAAAUCGAAGAUCAGUGGGAUUAAACGUGAUACAAGUGAUACAAGACGUUACUCCUGGCUCUGCACUCAGGAAUUACUCCUGGCAGUGUUCGGAGGACCAUAUGGAAUGCUGGGAAUCAAAUUCAGGUUGGCCACGUGCAAGCAUUUGAAAUCAAGAUGAACAGUUUCCAGAUUUCCAGACUGGCAAAUUUCUCAAGGUUGAAACCACAUUUUGCGGCUUCUUCUCUCAGAGAUAUUUUUCCUCAAUUUUUGCCCUGAUAAUUUGUUUAUUUAUUCAUUCAUUUAUUUUUGGCUUUUGGGGUCACACCCAAAAAACUCAGGGGUUACUCCUGGCUCUGCACUCAGGAAUUACUCUGGCAGUGCUUAGGGAACCUUAUA